Molecule: ribosomal RNA, 408 nt
Filed under: uncultured bacterium
Lineage: Bacteria
Description: partial 16S ribosomal RNA
Rfam family: Bacterial small subunit ribosomal RNA
Source: RNAcentral
GACGAACGCUGGCGGCGUGCUUAACACAUGCAAGUCGAACGAAGUGGCGAACGGGUGAGUAAUGUGUAAUAAACCUGCCCUUGAGAGGGGGACAACAGUUGGAAAGGACUGCAAUUCCCGCUUACUGAAGGCGGGGUUGGCGUCUGAUUAGCUAGUUGGGGGGGUCACGGCCCACUAAGGCGAUGAUCAGUAGCCGGUCUGAGAGGAUGAACGGCCACACUGGAACUGAGACACGGUCCAUACUCCUACGGGAGGCAGCAGUGGGGAAUAUUGGACAAUGGGCGAAAGCCUGAUCCAGCCAUGCCGCGUGUGUGAAGAAGGUCUUCGGAUUGUAAAGCACUUUCAGUUGGGAGGCGUUACCAGCAGAAUAAGCACCGGCUAACUUCGUGCCAGCAGCCGCGGUAAUUC